CACUAUCUAUCGUUUUGUUAUUUUUCAUUUUUAUUUAUUGUUCUUGCUAGUAUUUCUGUACGAAGUCUUCAUGCUUGGUUACCACGACCGACACUUGUGUUAAUGUAAAAGGAUUAUUCAUUUAUAUGAUCUUCACCUAUCCCCAUAACUAUCUCACGUUGCUCCUGAUAUUUUCGAUUUCAUCACCCUUAUUCUCAAACAAAGUUAUAUCAAGCAAAGGUUGAAGGGCUCUUUUUAUUUACAGUAUAUGAUAUUUUUUUUGUUUAUCCUGAUUACUUGAAUUAUGCCCAUUCAAUCAAUACUAGACAGAAGCCUAGGCUGGUCCGGAUACAUAGCGUCCGUUCGAUCUAAAACAAUUAAAAAAAUUAACGAGAAAGAAUUAAUAAAAAAAAUUAAAUGCGGGACAUAGAGUGAAAUGCUGAUAAGGAAAGACUCGAAUUUCUGCUUUACCGCGCUGUGGCAGACGAACGCAAACUCUUAUCCCCGGAUUCGAUCCUCUUCGUUCCUACCGUGAGGUGACGUCCAGCAGUCCACUCGCAGGACGACGGCGGCGCCGCACCCGUCCAGCCACCGCUUUUCCUCCACCACGAAGAUGGGGCGGUGGGCGGUGGGGGUCCUCGUCUUCUGCUCUCCUCUCAGGAGAAGGAAGGAAAAAGGAGGAGGUGGAGAAAAGGGCCAUUCGGCGGCCCUGCUUUCUCCUCCUCCGUCGUCCUCCUCUUCUCUCCUUUUGUCUCCCCCGGCGCCCCACACGGAAAAAGCAGGGCGGGGAAUGUGAUUCCCCAGCCCAUUCAUCUCUCCUGGUCUCCCAUCUCCUUCAUUUCACGAACUCGUGGCCUUCCGAGCUCCCAUCCCCCCCGCCCUCCUCGCCCCUUCCGGAACUCUGAGCUGUAGCCCUUUCCCCCCGGCUCAUCUUCCCC
This 917-nucleotide long non-coding RNA is filed under the name Spirodela polyrhiza (greater duckweed). RNAcentral's name for it is "long non-coding RNA (SPOL_LNC002235)". The record is from RNAcentral. Lineage: Eukaryota; Viridiplantae; Streptophyta; Magnoliopsida; Alismatales; Araceae.